This 3335-nucleotide long non-coding RNA is filed under the name Equus asinus (donkey). RNAcentral's name for it is "lncRNA (ENSEASG00005036975.1)". Lineage: Eukaryota; Metazoa; Chordata; Mammalia; Perissodactyla; Equidae. The record is from RNAcentral.
ACUUGAUGGGUUAAACACAUAAAUUUAUCAUCUUACAAUUCUGUACAUUACAAUUCCAACAGAAGUCAAAAAUUCAACAAGUCAAAAAAAUCAAAGUGACAGCAGGGCUGGAUUCCUUUCUCGAGGCUAUGGGAGGAGAUCUUCUCUUGUCUUCAACUUUGUAGAGGCUAAUGGUUAAUGUAGAGGCCCCCUGGUUUGUGGGCCCUUCCUCCUUCUUCAAAGCCAGCACCGUCGCACCUCUCUGACUCUGACCUCAGCUGGGAAAGGUUCUCUGAGUUUAAGGACACAUGAUUAGAUUGCCACUCCUCCCGACAAUUCAGGAUCAUCUCCCCGUUUUCGGGUCCUUAUCUUAAUCACGUCUCCGGAGUCCCUUUUGCCAUAUCAGGUUCUGGAGAACUCUGACCACCCCCUUCUUUUACUGCCUAUGUCAACUCAGGGGACUUGGGCAUGACUAGUAGCAGAGAUCAGUGGUUCCACGCCCGUAUGGCAAGAGCCCCCCAGUACAUAGUUGUAUAUUUUAGUUGUGAGUGCCUCUGGUUGUGCUAUGUGGGACGCAGCCUCAGCAUGGCCUGACAAGCGGUGCCAUAUCCGUGCCCAGGAUCCAGACCAGCGAAACCCCAGGCUACCGAAGCAGAGCGCGCAAACUUGACCAGCUGGCCAUGGGGCCGGCCCCUAUUCUACUUUUUGAACAAGAGACCCCACGUUUUAUUUUGCACUGGGUCUAGCAAAUUAUGUAGCUGGCCCUGGCUUGUACAUUGCUAGUGGGAAUGUAAAAUGGUAUGACCAUUUUGGAAAACAAUUUGAUGAUUUCUUGUAAAAUCAGCCUUGCAUUUACCAUAUGACCUGUGGGAAAGAGAGGCUGAUUGAGCUAACUUGGUCACAUUUGCACCCUACUGAAGAAAGUGAAAGAGAUCUUAUGAUUGACACCCCCACUAGAAGCACAUGGAAAGGAAGAGGAAUGAUUCCCCAAAUUAAUGGAGAAAGGGAUGCCGAGCAAGCAAAAAUAACGUGGGCAGAAGAUGAGUGAGGAGAGAGUGAGAGAGGUAUGAAAGGUGAGAAUAUUCUAUGGUAGAUAGCAGAGCUCAAAUGUAAGAUUCCUGCCAACCUCACUGAAGCCCUUAUCGAGUUCAAGUCCACAUCAAGUCCACUAUCAAAAAAUGGCUUGUUUCUGCAAAGAAUUGCUUGUAAACUAUACCUGAGGACUAAAUUUGGAUGAUAGACACAACCACCUAGUGGCCUCUGGUCCCUAGGAGUAUAGGAUUAUUAAUGAUUUUGCUUAAGAGUAAUAUAACCAAGAGGCAGAGUUGGCUCGGAUUCCUAAAAUGAUAAUUCAUGAUGAACAAACAUGAGGCCCAUUAAGUGCCUGAGAUUUUGUGUUCCUCCCCAAAAGUUUGGUUUCAUCCUUUGAAAGCCAGUUCACUGAUACUCAAUGUCCCUGCUGUGGACCUUUCUGGAAGCUUCAGGGACUGACUGCUUAUUCUCUACUGGGGGCACAAAGAGAAACAGCCUAUGUAGGUGGGUGGUCCUAGACCCCAGGACAGUGGAAGAAAGAGAGGGCAGUGCCAUUCUGCCCUUAUUCUGAGUGUGUAGCCCUCUCCUGCCGUGUUUAGCAGUCUGGCCAAUCUGAAGAGCCUCCAGUUGUAAAUUUGGAGAACUACAGUCUAUUUAUGGCACUUGCACUGGCCUUUUGUUUGACUUGGGCAAAUUAUUCACUUUUAUUUACUUCAGUUUCUUCCAAAAUAAGCAUAAGUAAUUCUCACCCAACCUACGUUCCAGGUGGUUUGAAUAUCAAAUGAGACAAUAAGCCUGAAAUCUCUUUGGGCAAAUGAAUUGUCAUAGAAAAUUAGGAUGAUGUGCUGAUUAUUGUUCCAUUCCAGAGUGGAGCUGGCACCCUCCUCUUCCCUUCCGUAUUACUGGCAAUGAGAGAGGAUCAAAUUAGGAUCAUAAUCAGAUUUGGGGGAUUAACUUUCAAUAUACUGCUAUUCAUGAAAUAAGGAUCAGAGAGUUUGGUGGCUACACCAGCUUCCUGAAAACCUAGGAGCCACUCUGAAUCCAGAGAGGCAUUAGUUGUUAAAGAUCAGAGAUGGAAUAUUUUAACAAUGAUACAAGGCAGCUUCUUUUCUCUUGCCUCACAACAUCACUAAAACAAACCAACCAACCCAAAAAACAAAAAUGAAAACCUUUAACAGAUUCUCAGAAACACAGACUUUGCAGAAAAGCUGUAGGAGACAAAGGGUCAAUGAGCAGGGAUAAAAAUAGCAUGGUGCAUUUAGAAAGGAGAAAUAGAGACCUCAGUAUCACACUGCAGACACUUACUGAGAACAAAUAAUGAACAAAAGUAUCGCAAGGCUAAGCCAAAUGGAUCAUGAAUUGGAUAUGAGUCAGCAACAAAAGUCCUUUAAUUAAGCUCAGGACUGGAUACAAUGUUAAUAAUAGUUUAUGCUGAUGUUCAUGAAGCACUCACGAUGUGCCAGGGACUUUCAGUGCAUACGUGCAUUAUCUCAUUUUAUCCCACUAGGUCGAUGCGAUUGCUAUUCAUAUUUCACAAAUAAGGAAAAUGAUGACUAGAAAGUUAAAAGAUUUGCACAAGUCCUCCUAGCCAUGAUAUGCCAAUCUGGGACUUGAGCUGAUAUCUGUCACCAAGGACUGUGUUCCCAAUCACUAUUGUAAAUUGACUGUCAGAGAGCUUCUUGCUCAUAUAGAACACAGGUUGCAGUUCUGGGCUUUGGCAAAGGGGCUUGGCAAAUCUUAGGAGGAUUCAAAGGAUUGCAGUGAAGGAAAUGAGAUUAUUUAACCUGGAGAAGGGAAAGCUAUAUGAUCCAUAGCAAUGUUAACUUAUCUGAUGGCAGUUGGGAUCAAGGAAUAGAAAAUCAGUGCAGGUGGUUUUAGAGAGCAAAGGAGGAUUCAGAGUAAACCAGGAUCAGACUGUGAUUGUUUCUAGAAGUGAAGGCUGCUAAAUAUCUCUGGCAGCCAGGGAGGUGUGCCAUUCAAAAGAACCUGCUGUGGGGAGUGUCGCUGACUGCCAGCCUCCAGUUGUCACACCUUUGGGUCUGCGGGCACUCAGGCCCAGGCCAUGCUUCCUGCAGACUGCCCCUGAGCCAAUGACUGAGCCUGAGGCGGUACAAGACCUGGGCCAUCCCUGACCAGUGGGGCACUCCUCUGUCAGCCUUGACGACUCCCCACCUGAGAGUCUCAGAACUACACUGCAGUCUGAAGCUUCUCCGGCUCAAGCCUCCUUCCUUUGCCACCUGCCUACUUUCUUAAAGAUCAGACCUACAUCUAGGUAGCCUGCAGGUUCUCCUCGCCCACCUCUGCUCCCUCCCUCUCCAGCCUUA